This 311-nucleotide ribosomal RNA is filed under the name uncultured fungus. Its description in RNAcentral is "SSU rRNA". It matches the Rfam family "Eukaryotic small subunit ribosomal RNA", at positions 39 to 352 of the family's 1831-position model. Lineage: Eukaryota; Fungi. The record is from RNAcentral.
AAAGAUUAAGCCAUGCAUGUCUAAGUAUAAGCAACUUGUACAGUGAAACUGCGAAUGGCUCAUUAAAUCAGUUAUCGUUUAUUUGAUAAUCCCUUACUACAUGGAUACCUGUGGUAAUUCUAGAGCUAAUACAUGCUUCAAGGAGUGGCUUUCGUCACUCUGCACUUAUUAGAUAAAAAACCAAUGCCCCUUUGGGCCUCCUUGGUGAUUCAUAAUAAUUUAGCGGACCGCAUUCCCUCGAGGAGGCGGUGGAUCAUUCAAAUUUCUACCCUAUCAACUUUCGAUGGUAGGAUAGUGGCCUACCAUGGUUU